CCGCAUACUUACCCCACGGUCUUCUCCUGACGCCUCUGUAAUGCCUCAGGUCAUCCUCUUGAGCCACUGGUGCAGGAACUGCUAUAGUGGCAAGAGGUGGCUUGCGUUGGCUUAGAGUUGAAGUGGUGCAGUGGUGGAUGGUGGAGACAAAGGUGUCUAAGGAAGGGAAAUCGGUAAGAAGGUGUUGGGUUAUGAGAUUCAAAGCUGAUUGGUCUUGUUCUAGUUGAUGUGAAGAAGCCAUAGAUGAUACUGGAGCCUUUUUCUAUCUGAUUGUUGUUUUGAUUGUGGGUUUUGGUUUUUGAGAUUGGAGGGUUAUAUAAAAAUGGAAAGUGAGAGGUUUUUGAGAUUAGCUUCUUUGGUUGGAGAGAGGAAGGAUCCUUUUCAAUUAUUUUGACUUGUUUUCUACUGUUGUUUUGGAGUGUGGCAAGUGGACUUUAAAUAUUAGUAUAAGUUUAAGACAAGAAAGGAGGGAUUUUGUGGAUUUGUCUCUAUUUCCAGGCUUCUUCAUAUCCGAGACACAUUUUAAAAAUGGUUUUUAUUACAGAAAUUUGAAACAAAAAUUGACACUUUUUAAAAAUUUUAUGGGUACAAGUUUAUGUCUGCUUGCCUGUUUUAGACAAUUUCUCGACGGUGUAGGAUUCUCGUUUUUGGUUCACUGUGGAUUAUAUGAUUAGGUGGUUGGAAUUUCUCUUUUGGCCGCACUGUUUCUAUCUUUUUGAAAAUAAUUGGGUUACUUGAUUUAUGUUUCUUUCACGGCUAAGCGAUGAAGUUUUUCCUUCUGGUUGUUUCCUUUGAUUUGGUGACUUGAAAUAGUUAAGGUAAUCUUGUCAUGUUGUAAGAUGUAAAAAUGUUACGAGUUACGACCUUAGCAUCAAGUACAUCUGGAAGCAGAAGUCUCGUGGAGUGGGUAACAAAGGAAUGUCUUAGGUUUGUUUCAACAUACUGAAUUCUCUGUGUCUACUUUGUAACCUCAUGAAAGUUUUUGUCUAUGGUGAAAUUUAUAGGGUUGAAGAAAAGUACAUAUGUUUGUGGGUGUCUGCACUAUUAUAUUAGACAGCGACCAAAGUCUUGGAGGCAAUCGUUUUGCUUGAAGGGCUCAUUAGUAGGUCUUGUAAGUUCAAACUUCUUCUUUGUGCUCGUUUAAGGAAGGGUAGAAAGAAUUGCAUUUAAGAUGAAUCAAUGAAUAUAGGGAAACAAUUUUUACAAUCAGCUAAUCUAGAAGCUUUCAACACAAUCCAAAGUUGCUAAUGUCACCUAAUGUUGGAAUGUUCCCAGUUUGACUCUCAGAAGCUUACAUAACCACGAGGUGGGAGUGUCCAAGAGAUAGAUAAGGAGAUAAUGGAGGCACGGAGAAUAUCCCCAUCUCUUUACUGUCUGCUCCGUCCCAAAACCCCAUCCAACUUGACGGCGUUAAUGGACAAGCAUCAGUCUGAGCCUGAGCCUGAGCCUGAGCCUGAGUUUCUUCCCUCUUCACAGCUUUAUGGCUGCUUAGGUGGCUUACAUCCUCCGUUACUUGUCUUUUCCUCUUUGCUUUCAAAGACACAGUCUUGUUAUUGUCUCCUAAGUCCUCGUGCUUUCCUGCUUCGAGUGGAAAGUUAAGAAUGGCUUUGCUUCCACGUAGUUUAAAAGCAGCCUUGUCAUAACCCCUUGCAGCUUCCAUGGCUGUGUCAAAAGUCCCUAACCAGACACGAACACCUUUCCUGUUUGGGUCUCUGAUCUCAGCCGCAUACUUGCCCCAAGGUCUUCGCCUCACGCCUCUGUAAUGCCUUUGAUCAUCCUCUUGAGCCACUGGUCCAGUAGUAGGAACUGCUAUAGUGGCAAGAGGUGGCUUGCGUUGGCUUAGAGUUGAGGUGGUGCAGUGGUGGAUGGUGGAGACAAAGGUCUCUAAGGAAGGGAAAUCGGUAAGAAGGUGUUGGGUUAUGAGAUCUAAAGCUGAUUGGUCUUGUUCUUGUUGUUGUUGAUUUGAAGAAGCCAUAGAUGAAUGAUAUAGGAGUCUUCUUCGUGUUUGUGUUUGUGAUUGUGGUUUUGAUUAUGGAUUUUGUUUUUUGAGAUUGGAGGUUAUAUAUAAAAGUGGGAGUGAGAGGUUUCGUGGUUAGCUUCUUGGGUUGGAGAGAGGAAGGAUCCUUUUCAAUUGUUUUGACUUGUUUAGUUCCAUUGUUGCUUUGGAGUGUGGCAAGUGGACUACUCUAGUCUCUAUAACUUAUUAUUUUAAGAUAAGGAACGAUUCGUGGCUCUGUCUUUUUCUUGUGAGGGUCCAUCAUCAAAGCUAGUGCCUACUUCCAGGCUUCUUCAUAUCCCAGACACAAAUUAAAAAGGGAUUUUUGUCAAUAGUGGCAUAAAAAAGAGUUUUAGUUUUUCGAAGUGCCAUUAUGAAAAACUCCUUUUGCAAAUAGGUCAUUGUUGUACGUUGUGGCACAUGUAAAAUACAUUCUUGUCCUUGUAGACAGCAAAAGAUAUGUGAGCCUUUAUACAAAGAGGGUUACGAUUUGCACAAGACUUCAUCUCUUUCUCUACUGCUCUCUUUUCCCUAGCCCACCAAAUUCUCUCUUGUUUCCACCACCAGCAGCUCUUGUCCUCCACUUUCAUUAUUCACGUCCAUUAGAUUUUCCUCUAAAUUUGUUUGUCUCUCAUUUUCUUCUUCUUAUGCUUUUUCGUCCACCAGUUUCUUAUACGGAUCCCAAUCCACAUGAUAUGUCCAUUGGUCAUAAUCAUAUGAUGGUUCCUCCUCUUUCUCUACUCCAACCUUAUAAUACUCAUAACUCCCAUUGUCGCCUCCCUAGUCCACCUUCUUCCCCUUGUCUACCAUAAUUGGUCCAUCUCCUUAAGUAUCUUCGUCUAAUUUCAUUAGUUUAGUCUACAGGAUAUGGCAAAAUGAUGUUUUUAGAGGACAAAUCUGGAUAAUCGAUGGACAACAAGAUUGAUAGAUCUAAGAACAAUUUCGGGACCAAAACAAACUGACAAACAAUUGCCAAUGAUCAAGAGUUACCUUUUGCUUGGAUCUGUAAAUCGUGGACGAAUAUUAUGUUUAGAGAAAGAGAUACAUAAAUUUGAAUUAAUUCCUUGGGUUACCAAUGCAACUCUGGCAGAAUUAAAUGCUCAGCCGAGCAGUCAAACCAUCGUUUCCAGCAGGCCAUAUGGAGGGCAUUUCCGUCUUUCUUUGUUGCAAAAAUGGCCUUCCCCAUAACAAGUUUUUUAAAUGGCGUUCCGAAAAAUGAAAGUCUAAAAGAUGGCAAAAUCGUUAAAAAUUUCAAUUAAAAAUGGUUUUAUUUUUUUUAAGAGAAAUAAAAGAAAAAUUGACACUUUUUUCGUACUUUUUGGGUAAAGGUAAGUUGACACAAAUAAAGUUGUAUUUUGGAAAAGGUUGAUGCACUAAUGUGUAUAUGUCCACAGUCCACUUGCCUAUGUUAGACACCAAAUUUAUGUCUCUAUGCAAGUCGUUUAUUUGGAAGGAUUAUCCCUCUGUUCUUAUAACCUCCUUCAUUUCUUCCUCGCUUGGAUCAUAAAAUGGCAUUUUGAACGAAUUUACCUUUGACACACUUACAAGACCCUAUGUAAAUACAUAAAUAACAGAAAGAUCAAAAUUUUCUAACCCUCUGUUGAUACCUCAGAGACUAGGUCGUGGAAAGAACCAGAUAACAAUAUAUUACAACAUUCCCUGUACAAAUGAAUAAAUGAUCAUCAAUAGGGUUUUAGUUUCUUUCCAUUAAUGUGAGAACCAUACGUCCACAAGACCAUAUCUUCAGAACGUAUUUUGAAAAAUGUCGUAAAAUCUCUUUGGAUUUAUUACAGUUAAACUUGAACUUGUAUUCACUAAGAAGACUUGAACUUGUUAUACAUGCAUUCAUCUUAUUAUUCUCCAGUUCGUCGAGAACCUUACAAGUCCACAAUACGAUCGUUAUACGUCUUUUUACUUUUAAGGAAGUUUAAAUGUCUUUAGGUGAAAAAUGAUGACGAAAUCUAUAUAAGACCUUAGAGAAAUCUAAAAAAAUAUAUCAAGGAAACAACUACGGGAGAAAACCUAUUAUUCAACCAAACUAAAAACAGUGGAAAGAUACUAUAACUACAAAGAUUCAACGACCUAUUAGUGUCCAAUGGAAGUUGGCAAAAUUCUUUGGGCAAUAUAUAUGUCUGUCAAUCCUCCUCAUUUGAUCUAGAUUUUGGGUGUGAGUUUGGCCCACACUAAUAUAGUACCAAAACCAAGGUCGAUUAUGGGCUAUCACAUGUGGAUGUCUAGUCUCAUAAAAUUGUCGCUUGAGAUGUACAAUCCUGAGUGUGAGGGCCGAGGAGGUGUAUUAAAGUCUCAUAUUGGAAGUUAGCAAAUUCCUUGGUCAAUAUAUAAGUAUGUGGCAAUCUUCCUUCUUUGAGCUAGCUUUUGGGUGUGAGUUAGGCUUACACUAAUACGACCUAAAAUAGAAGGAUAAGUAAAAACAAUCCUAAACCAAACAACAUCACUUAACAUGUACCUCUCCAAGAUAAAAAAGUGCAAACCCGUGACCCUAAACGAUCAAAUAGACCCCUAAAAAACUCGAAUACUCAACAAAGAAUCGGCCAUCUAGGGAGGCAUAACCAGCAAGAUAAUUAUGGCUGGAAACCGAGACUAGAUUCAUUCGCGGUCAAACCGCGCUAUCGAUCGAAGAAGAUCCGGCGAAUCCAAUCUUGCCUCCACCUAGUCUCAAACCAAUGAACCACCGUCUUCCAAAUGACCUAAAACAGCCUAAUCACACAAAAAAUAAUCCGUAGAACCGACAACCAAAUCACCACGAUCGCAUUACCAUUCGGGUUUGGCAGACGCCUCAAGUUUAAUCCUCGAUCUUAAUUCUUAAAUCUGAAACCUCACCUCUAUAAGUCGGAACCACCAUCUUCUAAAUUUAAUAACCCUAACAUACCUCUCACGUCACCGGUAAAAAAAAGGCCGGUGAUCAGAGAAACAAAGAUCCAAAUAAAGAGAUUAAAAAAUUGAAAAUAAAAAAAGGCCGCGUUUCACUUAAAAAACCCUAAGUGCUCCUUCUUCGCUUUCCUCUGUUUUUCCUCGGAUUUAAAACUCAAAAUUCGUAAUUCUCCAUAUCACUGAACGCUUCCAAUUCAUCAUCCUCGUACGCUCCCAAAUUGCCUUUCCUCUUCGCUUCCAGAUUCUCCUCUUCCGGUCGCCGCCGGAGACCUAGUAUCUCAUCUGCUACGUAUAAUGGUGUCGCCGAAAGAGUUAGUGGCCAUAGUACACUCUUCACUGCUCGGAACGUCACUGCCAACUCCAACGCAGCGUAUCGAACUCACUCAUGCCAUUCGCAACUCAUUUUCCUCUAUUCAGAACCUCCUCUCUUUCCCGGUACUUGCUCGAUUUCCUUUCUACUCGAUGAUACGUCCUUGUGUUUUCUGGGUAUAGUAACCAAAUCUUUUUUUUCUAAUCUCUGGCAGCCUCCGAAGCCGUCGGACAGAGCGCAAGUUCAGUCCAAAGAAAUUCGACUCCCGGAUUCGCUGCCAAUAUCUUUGGAUGACCAAGAUGUCGCUAUUGUAAGUGUUUCUUUCGACUUCUAGAUGACAUUCUUGGUCUUGUGGAGGUUUAGAUUUUAGAAUUUAGAUAUGAAAACAAUUGACACCGAUUAAAGCAAGUUUUGCUUCAAUUUUGCGGAUGGAUUGAAUAAAAUGGUUGUCUAAGUAGAUGUCUAACAAGGCAGAAUUUCGCUGUUUCCUUUACCAUGUUGAAUGAACUUUUAGAAUGUGCUUGGUUGCUGCUCAUUUCCGAUGUAUGAGCUUCUUUUCAUAGGGAUUGUGGUUUGUCCUGAUGAUUUGUUAAAUCUACCAUUUGACACACAUUACCACCUUUAAGCUUCUGUUUAAUUUGAAAUAUGUGCAAUGAUAUAUUUGGUUGAUAUCUUACUGCUUCAGAAAAAAGGUGCCUUUAACAACUCUAACGGCCUAUGUUCUUCAUAUAUUGUUAUUGAUUGUAGAGCUUGAAACUGAGUGAUGAGCUUCACCUAAAUGAGAUAGAUUCUGUUCGUCUGCUUGUAUCUGCAAAUCAGGAGGUGCGAUUCCCUUCGCUUUGCUUCUACUCUCAUCUCUUAGCUUCUAAAGCUCUGGAGUUAUUUUCUGCGAUAUGUUCUUAUAUUUUAUCCUCUGUUUAGUGGGGCUUAAUGGGACGGGACCCUCUUGAGAUUCAACGGCUUGCAACUGGACUAUGGUAUACAGGGAGAAGAGAUCUUACGUCAACUCUAUACACACUCCUGAGGGUAGCUUACUCUCUCAUUAUAUUUCUGGGUUUUUUUUUUGUUCUUCUAGUGUUCUUAACGUCAUCGCACAUUACCAUUUUUCUGGUUGAAUAGGCAGUUGUUCUGGACCAGGGGCUUGAACCUGAUCUUAUAGCUGACAUUCAGGGACUCUUAGAAGAACUUAUUAAAGCUGGGCUCAGACAACGGUUGAUUACUCUUGUAAAGGUAUUAACCACUUGGGUUCUUUUAAGUUACAUUUUCAUAGGUGUCAAAUAUACGUAACUUGAAUAACUUCCUACUUUUCUGCUUGAAUUUCUUCUGAAGCACUCAUCUUAUUGACAAUCAUUCUCAUUAAUGCAAAGACUAUUCUCUUGUUCGUUGUCAUAUCUGUCUAGCUACACCAUUUCAAUCUACUUUUCCAUUUGUUUCUCAUGAUCGUAGAGAAUAAACAAUCUUUCUCCAAUUAGUUAAUUGAAUCCUAUUUUUAAAUGUGUAACUGUUACUUAUUGGGCAACCAUAAGGUAUUGAGACCAUUACAAAUUUUGUCCACAUCAGGAAAAUUAUUGUUUGCUGUUUUCGUCCGCUCUAAUAUGUCAUUGUUGUCAAUGCUGCCUGAUACCUUUUAAAGUUGUCAACUACACGAGCUUCAUAGUUCAAGACACUUGGGGUAAUGCACUUCCUAUGUAAUAAUCAUCUUUGAGAUUUGUUUUUAGUUGUCAAUAUUAUCUUUAAAUUCAAAGACAGUUGCAGUACAUUUAUUUUACCAUUUGUUAUUAACUUCUCACUUUGCAUUAACAUCAACAUGAGUUCAAGCUAACUCUUAAAAUAUUCAGAUCUAACUUGCUUUGGAUUCAAGUGUUCACAUAAAUGAGUCAAUAUAUUUUAAAGAUUUACUUUCGAAACUUCAAAAAUCCAAUGAUUGUCCCCUAUGUCCAUUGUCUUCAUAGCUGAACAUUUGCAGCCAAAGCAUUCUUUAAUCUAGUAGGAAAUAUUAGAUGUAAAAGUCCUUUCAGACGAUCUUGUGACUUGAUAUUUUUUGUUCUUUGGCAUUAUUAUGUAAUUAUUGUCAUGAUAGCAAAUUCUUUGUUGCUAGGAACUCAAUCGGCAGGAUCCUACUGGAUUGGGUGGGCCCUUAUGCGAGCGAUACCUUAUUGACUCAAGAGGUGCUCUUGUUGAACGAAGAGCUGUUGUUCAGAGGGAAAGACUGAUACUGGGACAUUGCCUUGUUCUUUCAAUUUUGGUUGAUAGACCUGGUAAGCUCGUUCAUUUCUUAUAAAGCUUUUGUGCGAAGAUUAAGAAUGCUACUUGUUAAAGAAAUUCAGCUGUUGGAUUCAGUGCUUUUCGUUAAUGGUUUGACUUUUCCAUUAAAAGAUACAGCAUUAGUUCUAUUGUGUCCCAUAGUAAGUGAAACUAUUGAUAAUUGGGUUUCACGUUUGAUAGGACACUAUAUAUGCUAGACUAGUUAGAUCAUUGGUCAAUGUGCUAUGAGAUAUAUUGUGUUUUCAUAUAUAUUAUUGCUAUGUCUGUGUAAUUAUGCUGAAGUUGAGUAUCAUAUGUGAUUAUGGUGUUUGGUAUUCGUACUCCAUUGUUCUGAUCUUAUUUAUCAAAAAUUUGAAAAUUUUGAUUACUAUUUAAUAUUAAGUUUUUUUUUUUUAUUUAUAGUAUUAAAACACUCUUGUGAUUGUAUAUCUUUUGUUAUUUCUCGAAGGAUAUUUUCUAUUUCAAUUUCAUUCUUCUAACAAGUUUGUUUAUUGCAGGUUCGAAAGAUGUGAAGGAUAUAUACUACGUUUUUAAAGAUAAUGCAGCUCAAUUAACUGAAGGAAAUGACACCAUAAGUUCUCAGGUUCAUGCUAGUCCUGUUCAUGACGUAGAGGCUUUUGAAGUUUUCUUUCUUCCCUGCGUAUUAAAUUUAAAAUGUGUUAAUUUCUGAUAAAUGACUAUUUUCUUUGUUGCAGAUUACUUUUAGUCUUUUGUUUUCUCUCAUCAUCACCUUCGUAUCAGAUGCAAUCAGUGGACUAUCUGAUAAGUCAUCUAUGAUAUCUCAAGAUGCUUCGUUUAGGACAGACUUUCAGGAUAUUGUAAGACUAGUUGAUACAUUUUUCUUUCGCUUCUUCUCCCUGUCACCAAAGACCUUCCACUGCUGACACUUGAAAACACACCUAAUCACCUUUCAGGUUAUGGCUUCUGGCAGUGACCCCACUGCUGAUGGCUUCAUUGGUGGCAUAAGGCUUGCCUGGGCUGUACAUUUAAUGCUGAUACAUGAUGGAAUAUCUGGAAUGGAUACGAUUUCCACUGCUUCAACAAAAGAUAUGGGGCACAUAUGCUCCUGCCUGGAGUCCAUCUUCUCAAAAAAUGUGUUUCAAUUUUUGCUGGAUAAUGUUCUUCGAACUGCAGCCUACCAGGUACUUUCAUUAUGAACAUCAUCAUGAAUUCUAUGUGCUCAGUUAUUGUCCAUCAAAUGCGGGGUGCCUAUCUGGAUUCCCUGUGCACUUGAUUUCAUUUGACGAGCUAGUGGAAGAUUUACUUUGAUUUCCCAGCUAGUGGAUGACAUGUUUGGCUCCUUAAACUUUUAUAUUGAAUGAGCUAUUAUGCAUGGUUCAUGACUGUAUCAGAAAAAGAGCUAUUUUCUAAUGGUGCCUAUGGUGUUUAUAUUUUUCCUUCAUGACAGCUGUAGUGUAUAUUGUCUGUUUUAUGGUAAUGGUUAUAUGUGUUGGCCUGUAUGGAUACCGUUUUAAUCCUUCAUGAAUUCAAUUUUUACUUGAUUAGUCAUUCCCAAAUGUAAGAGUGUUCCUAUUUCUUUAUGCUGAUUUUUCUGCUUCUAAUCACAUUAUAUAUAUCUACUAAUGAUUUCAUUAUUUGAGAUAUGACUUUAUUAUAUUGGUGUUUGACGGGCUCCUCUUUGGAUGCUGUAUUCAUUCUUGUUUAGUCUCUAGGUUUUGCUUGUUAAGUCAGAUCUCAAUUUCAAGUCUCUUUCCAGUUUUAUUCUGUGAGCUUUGAUUUCCCUGACUCAACCCACGUUCCCCCUUGUGUUGGUCUAUCAAUGGUUGACCUUUUGUUAGUUGCUACAUGCAGAAUGAUGAAGAGGACAUGAUCUACAUAUAUAAUGCUUAUCUGCACAAGUUAGCCUCUUGUUUUUUAUCUCACCCGAUCGCAAGAGAUAAGGUUUGUUAAAUAUAUAGAUUAAUGUAUAUCUACUUAGUAUUUGUGUAUUGAUUAUAUGUUGGUGAUCAAAGUUUGAACGCUGCAACUUUAUCAUGUAAAGCUUGUAAUUUUUUCUCCUUACUUCAUGGUCUGAUAAUUAUGAUGAAAAUUGGUAGUAUCUGCUUUCCAUUUAGAGGGAGUAACCUUUUGAUGUAUCAGUCACAGAUUCUGAGUAUUUCAGCUGGAUCACUUAGGGGAUAUGAGUAGCAUAUAAACUUCAUUAAUGGCUGCACCUUAGAUCAUUGCUAUUUUUUCUGAUGGUUUGAUAGUGUCUGAUAAGUUGAAUGUAUGAGCCAAGAUGAGAAAUACAAUAUCGUAUCUACAUGUUUAUCUCCUGUGUCAAGCCUGACAUCAUUAUUUUGCAGGUGAAGGAAUCAAAGGACAUGGCUAUGAGUGUUCUAAAUUCUUACCGAACUUGUGAUUCGCUUGAUGGAAGUAUGCAGACUGAAGAGGCUGACAGGCCGCUGCCCUUCAUUUCUCUUAUGGAGUUUGUAAGCAAAAUUUAUCAGGUUGAGAACGACUACCAUAUGGAAGCAGUUAUUAUCUUUGUUUUUUUUUUGUUAAUUUUUCUCAAAUGUUGGAAAAUGAGUUUGCCUGGUAUCUUGAAGUUGAGCUCUGUUCAUAUGUUUUUUGGUAGCUUAUUUUGUUUUUCAUAGCACAGUGAGCAUUCAGAAUACAUCUCGAUCAUAUCUCAUUUUUCAUACCAUAUUCCUGUUUUUGUGUCUUUUGAUAUUUACAACCUUUUACAGAAGGAACCUGAGCUACUCUCCGGGAAUGAUGUCUUGUGGACAUUUGUGAAUUUUGCUGGAGAGGACCACACAAAUUUUAAAACUCUUGUGGCUUUCUUGGAAAUGCUGUGUACCUUGGUAUGAGAAAUCUUUAUAUUGGUAUUUUGGUGGGACAUCAUUUACUUGGUUACUCAUUGAGUUUCCUUGCUGUCAUCUUUAUUUGAUUUCAGGCUUCCACUCAGGAAGGUGCUUCUAAAGUUUAUGAGUUGCUCCGGGGUACAUCAUUCCGCAGUAUAGGAUGGCCCACUUUGUUUGAUUGUAUAAGAAUUUACGAUGAGAAGUUCAAGCAGUCUCUUCAAACUGCUGGAGCCAUGAUGCCAGAGUUCCUGGAGGGCGAUGCAAAAGCACUUGUCGCAUAUCUGAAUGUACUUCAGAAGGUUAUAUAACUCUAUUCCAAAUAUAUUCUGUUUCAACUUCCAUUCCACGUUUAAUAGUCUUAUAUGGUGCUUUUUAUCUAAGACAAGUUCAGCUUGUAUUCCUAGGACAAGUUCAGCUUGUAUUCCUAGGAACUGGGCUUAACUGCGAUUUGGUUCUAGUUGUUUACCUAAAUGCUUUCUCCGGGGUUAUGGAGAAGAGCCAUAUAAUUUUUCGCUAUGAGUUCCUAGGAGGGGAAUUUGUUUUUUAAAUGUCCUUGCAAAUGAUUCGUUCUCUGUGAAACUGAUGUUUGAACUUAAGAUAUUUUUUUUAUGGUCAAUAAGUUUAUUUUUCAUAUUCUGCAGGUUGUUGAGAAUGGUAAUCCCACUGAGAGGAAAAACUGGUUUCCUGAUAUCGAACCAUUUUUUAAGCUUCUUGGUUAUGAAAACAUCCCUCCAUAUCUGAAGGUCAGUGGUGUACUGGAGAUUCUUCCCCUUACACGUUGGACUCGCAAAUGAUAUGUGGAAAGCAUCUGGAAUCGGUAUCUAUAUAACUUGUGUUCAUUGUAACUUUAUUUUCUGCAGGGUGCUCUUAGAAAGACCAUUGCUGCCUUUGUUAAUGUCUUUCCAGAAAUGAGGGACUCUAUCUGGGCUUUUCUUGAGCAGUAUGAUCUGCCUGUUGUUGUGGGAUCACCAGUUGGAAAGAGUGACCAAUCUUCUCAGGUAAGUGCAUGGCUUCGAGGGAUAGUUAUUAGCAGAUUUUUUAACUCUACUUCUUUAGUUAAUAUUUCUCUUAUUAUUGAGAAUUUAUUAAAAUUUAUGCUUCUGCAUUUAUUUUCUAAACAUCUUAUACUUAUGCGUUAAAAGUGGGGUUGUCAUGUUGCAUAGACGAUUGAUAUCAUUUUUUGUUAUGUAAAUUUGAUGUUGGUAACACAAAAAAUAUUAAUAUUUGUCUAAUUCCUGCAUGUGAUGAAAGUUUUAGUUUCAUUUAUUUUACAUAAUACUCACAUAAUGCACUGUGCCAUGUUCAGUGCAGCUAAAACUUGGAAUAUCACGUGUUGUUUGAUGCUGCUUUUGCUUUUCCAGGUGGAGAGAAUCUUCAGCGUAUCGUCAAAACCUAAUCUCACAAUUCGCUUAUAUGCAGGUCUAUGAUAUGCAAUUUGAGUUAAAUGAAGUGGAAGCAAGGAGAGAACAGUAUCCUUCAACAAUAUCGUUCCUUAAUCUUAUAAACGCUCUGAUUGCUGGGGAGAAAGAUGUGAAUGAUCGUGGGCGUAGGUAGUAGUAGCCUUAGAUUGUUGUCUCUUUCCAUGAAGCUUAGUCUUCGUUUUUCUUGGUCUAAUGUUUAUAUGUAUAUUUUUGUAGAUUUAUUGGCAUCUUCAGGUUUGUGUAUGAUCAUGUAUUCACCCCUUUUCCUCAGAGGGCAUAUUCUGAUCCUUGUGAGAAGUGGCAAUUGGUUGUGGCAUGCCUUCAACAUUUUCACAUGUAAGCUCCUGCUUCUGUUUUCAAUAAUUUCCUUGCUCGGUCCAAAAUAAACUCUGAUUUUUAGCAGAAACAUAGUGUUCCUACCUUUUGUAAACUCCACCACUUUUCAUUUAGGGCACUAUUUGUGUUGAAGACUGGUUUAACAUUUUUCUGUAUUUCACUUCAGGAUCUUAAGCAUGUAUGAUAUUCAGGAGGAGGAUCUCGAUGGAUUUACUGAGCAUCCACAUUUUUUGGUGUCAGUUGAAACAUCUUCACUGCAAACGCAGCUACCAAUUAUAGAAUUACUAAAAGUACUAUCUUAAUUUGUUGCUUUAUUUUUCUUGUUCCACAUUGGACUCAUCUCCAAGUAGACAUGCAGUAUACAGUAUAUAAUUUGUUCCACGUUUUUCUUUUGUAGGAUUUCAUGAGUGGGAAAGCUCUCUACAGGAACCUCAUGGGUAUCCUUCAGGUUGGGGUCAAUGCCAUCAUCAGCGAGCGAUUGAGUAAAACUUAUGGGAAGAUCUUAGAAAAGGCAGUACAACUUUCUUUGGAAAUCUUACUGCUCGUCUUUGAGAAGGAUUUGCUUGUUUCCGAUGUUUGGCGUCCGCUGUACCAGGUACCUGGUUGUUCGUUUGAUGCAUUUGAGCUUUAUUUUGUAUAUCACCCAGUCAUUCAAACUCCUAAAUAUGUGGUGAAGAUUGUUAUAUGUGAGAAUGCAGUAAUAUAAGUAUUUUUUCGAAAGAGUAUUCAUAGGUUUACCUGGAUGCACUGUCAGAGCUUUCUAGGACAGUAGGAAGUUUGCACCAAUCGUUACCAAGUUUAGCUAUUUCAUCAAUCUAUACAUCCAAUGCCAUACUAGAAAGUGUAUUAUAGUAAUUGCACAAGAUUUUUGUCAAAUUUAAAUAUUCCUGUCUCAAAUUAGAUCCACAUUCUAUUUUUCUAAUCCACAAUGAAUGUAAGUUCUAGUGCACCAUUCGAAUUAGGUUACUAACUUAAAGUCAAAAGAUGAAGUGUAGGAAGCUUAGGGGAAUUGCUUUUAUUGUUGUCAAUCAUAAGCUACUUGACUAAUAGCAAUAUAUAUUAUUCCUCCUCCAACCUUUAGUUAAGUUAGUUUAUUUUGACCAUUAUUGGGUUGGUGGUGUAAAAUGUGAAACGGGACUCUAUUGUUAAUUUGGGAAUUGCUGGGAAACUUUUGGUAUUUUUGCGCCCCACCAGCUAUAGCUUGAACAACAAUUAUUUUCAUAAAGCACAAUCAGCAUGCCUUCCCUAAUUUUAUGUUAAGGCACAAGAUGGUCAAUAAUAUUAUCUUUUGUUAUUGCUGCAGCCUUUGGAUAUAAUUCUCUCACAAGAUCAUAAUCAAAUUAUAGCCUUGCUGGAGUAUGUCAGAUAUGAUUCUCUUCCUCAGAUUCAGCGAUCUUCAAUCAAAAUCAUGAACAUUUUAAGGUGGUAACAAAUUUCGUUUGAGACAUCUCUGUAGUUUGGUUUAACCACAUAACUUUUUUUCUUAGAUAGCAUUAGCAAAUACCAUUAUCAACUACUUUCAGAUCCUCAGACUUUUGGAUGUUUGAUUCCUUAGCUUUGUAUAAUUAGUUUAACCUUAUGUUUUGAUAUGAAUUACACGGGUUUUAUUAAUCAUAUGCUCGAUGACAGUUCUCGCUUGGUUGGACUUGUUCCAAUGCUGAUCAAAAUUGAUGCUGCGAAUUCCUUGAUCGAGGAUUAUGCGGCCUGCCUUGAGGUACGACUUGAAGAGGGUGAAGUUGUAGAGAACAGUUGUGAUGAUCUGGGGGUCCUUAUUAUGCAGGUUAGUUUCAGUAGUUGACUGUUACACUUAAUAGAAUAUCACACUAUGUGCACUAUGGCUUGGGUCUUAUCUACUUUCUUUCAUCAUGAUUGAUUCAUUCGUACAUAUCAUAUCAUCUCAAUGGUAUGACUUUCACAUUUGUAGCUUCUGGUUGACAAUAUCAACCGGCCUGCACCAAGUAUCACACAUUUGCUUCUGAAGUUUGACCUUGACGCCCCUGUGGAAGGGACAGUUUUGCAGCCUAAGUUUCACUACAGGUUUGAUUGUAAUUUGUAUACAGAAUAAUAUGUAUUUCAACCAUGAUCUCAUUUUGUUUUGCAAUCUGCAGUUGUCUGAAGGUCAUUCUUGAAAUGUUGGAGAAGCUUCCAAACCCCGAUAUAAACUUCUUACUCUUUGAGUUUGGCUUCCAGGUGGGAUAUACUAAUGCCGGAUGAUAACUAUCUGGUCUUUUCAAAGAAGUGAAAUUCUAUUUGGUCUAUUGUUUUUUGUACACUUAACUUUUACUUUUUGCAGCUUUUGUGUGAGUUGAAUUUGGAUCCGUUAACUAGUGGUCCAACCAUGGAUCUCUUGAGCAGCAAGAAAUAUCAGUUUUUUCUCCAGGUACACCAGAUUUUGCUUCUCCUUAUACCAAAAUAAUGCCAUCUUUUCCUUGAGGGCUGCCUCAUCCAAGUCACAAAUAACAACUUAUAUUUUACUCGUCCUUACUUUCUUAUUAUACUUUGAUGUUGCAGCACCUCGAUACCAUUGGUGUUGCCACUCUUCCAAAAAGAAGUGGCAGCCAGGCACUCCGUAUUAGUUCCCUUCAUCAGGUAUAUUAUAUAUUCUUUAAUUUCAGUGUCAAGUGUAUCCGACUCUGAUUAGUUUCAUGACAGAAUCUAAGCGGUUUUACUCUCUGCUAUCAACUAUUUUUGUUUAUAACAUUUUUUCCCGAAAUGUUAACUGCCUAUAUGCAAUACUGUUAGAUUUACAGUGAGUAAAAAAAAAACAUUUUUUUUUUUUUUUUUUUUCAUACAAAAAAAAAUAUAUAUAUAUUUUUUUUUGUGAUAGAAUGUCCCUAGGCUGUUUUUGUAUCUAAUACUCUCUGUUUCUGUUUUUUUCUAUUCCAUCAUGCGUAAAUUUUUUCACUCAGCAGAUACAGUAAUUUUUUCUUCCGUUCUUGUUUUCCUGCUACGCUCGACUCAUGUGCAAAAUGAUAUCUGCCUAAAUGCAAUAUUUCUUUUUGCUGGUUCUCAGUCAACGAAAAAGCGAUAAUCUGCAUUUAUGCACUACUUCUUUUUAUUGUGAUACCUUAGAAUUCAUGUAGGUAGUAAUUUUCUUGCUAUGUCUUCCAUAAGCAAAUUUAUGUGGAUAGUUACUUUUUUGCUAAGCUGUCAAGUCUUAUUUGGUUUCUGCUCCCUGUCAUUGUGGAGAGAAUACAAUAGUGGCACUUUUUUCUCUCUUGUUUCUUUAGUAAUAGUUUUUGUUAUCUAAACGUGUUCCUUAAACAGAUCAAAUGACAUGAUCAAUAAUCUAUUACAAUGCUACAUAGUCCUUUUUGCUGUUGAUAACAUUUCUCAUUUUCUCAAUAUCUACCUUUCCCAGAGGGCGUGGCUAUUAAAGCUCCUAGCUAUUGCACUGCAUACUGGUUCUGGAAGCAGUUCAGCUCACCUAGAGGCAUGUCAGAGCAUACUUUCUCAUCUUUUUGGGCGGGAGGUAACUGAAGCAGCGAAUGAACCUUUUUCUUCCAGUACAUAUCCUCAGGAUGGUCUUGAUUAUACUGGAACGAGUUCAAUCAGUAAAAGUAAGGUGAGUUUGGAAACACCUGCGUUUUAUGCUCUACUAUGCUUUAUGGCACAUCCUAGUUUUAUCCCUACUGCCGGUGUUCUGCAUGUGUAGCAUUGGUCUAAGAUUCUACCAUUUUAUAGUUGAGGCCAUCCAUGCAUGAUACAAAUAACUGUACUGACCCCACUCUUUCUGAAGUCACCAGCAUGUUGCCUUGCUGAUGUGCAGUUGUGCACCAUCUCUUAACAGUUUAACAUUCAUUGAAAAGCAGUAUUUAAAAUAUUAAGAUGUCUCCUUUUUUCCAUGCAACAGCAUUUUCCUUCACUGUAAAUCUAACAAUGUUGCGCUUGUCAUCAUUUCUUGCCUAGUUUUAAGUCGUUUUAUGGGUGCUGCUGUCUGACUUUUGUUUCUUCUUUGGAUUGAGUUCAGGCAUUGGCUUUGCUUGAAAUUCUUCAGUUUAGAUCUCCUGAUACUUCGAUGCAGCUUCCUCAAAUUGUGUCCAGCCUAAAGUAUGACUCACUGGUAAGGCUUGGGGAAUAUGGAGGUGUGUUUGCGUUAAGUAUAUUGCUCUAAAUAUGGAGUUUAAAAUUUCAGGUGGAGGACAUACUUGAGAACCGUGAUAACUCUGUUAGUGGCAGUAUCUACUACUAUUCUGAGCGUGGUGAUCGGCUAAUUGAUCUAUCUUCCUUCAGCAACAAACUCUGGCAGGUUAGUUCUUGUUAUAAUGGACAUCAGAUCUUCUCUCUAAUGAACAUUAAUGUUUCUCCUGUAAUGAAUAUUUAUGCUGAUUCUAUUGUUUGUUCAGAAGCUACAUUCUGGAUUUCCCCUAGUGGAUAGUUUUCCAAAUGUUGCUGAGCUUAGUGAAGUUAGAGAGACAAUUCAACAGCUGUUGAAAUGGGGCUGGAAGUAUAAUCGAAACCUUGAGGAGCAAGCUGCCCAACUUCAUAUGUUAGCUGGCUGGUCUCAGAUUGUUGAGGUUGAUUUUUUUCUUAAAAAAUCAGAUCACCUUUAGUAUCAUUAGCGUGUGCCACUCUUUUAAGAUAUCAAGUAUUUAUCUUUUGUGUUGUGCUUCGUAUGUUUUUGUUUUAGGUGUCUGCUUGCAGGAGAAUAUCUUCUCUUGAUAAUCGGUCUGAAAUUUUGUACCGGUGAGUACCUUUUGUAUCAGAGGUUAGUUGCUUGCGGAAGCUUUCUUGAACAUUGCAUGACUUGUUCUUCUCUGGUCGUUGGCAGGAUACUUGAUGCCUCUCUUAGUGCCUCCGCGUCUCCAGAUUGUUCAUUAAAAAUGGCGUUCGUACUUACUCAGGUGCAUUUUAGCUGUUGAGUAACUUUUAUUGUAAAAUGUGCUGUCUAUGUACUAACUUUAGGUUUUAAUAGGUUGCCCUUACCUGCAUUGCCAAACUUCGUGAUGAUAGAUUUUCAUUUCAAGGGGCCUUGAGUUCUGACACCGUGACAUGUCUAGAUGUUAUGAUGGUCAAACAUUUAUCCACUGGUGCUUGCCACUCAGUUCUAUUUAAACUUGUUAUGGCAAUUCUAAGGCAUGAGUCAUCAGAAUCUUUGAGAAGGCGGUACAGUACUAAGUUCCCUUAGUUGUCUUUUUACUUUCUUAUAAUACAACAUAAAGUCAUAUUCUGCCCAGCUUAUCUAAUUUCGGCUUUUCCCCGUUUCUAACACAUUUGCCUUUCUUCAUCAGCCAAUAUGCAUUGCUCUUGAGCUAUUUCCAGUACUGCCAGCAUAUGAUUGCUCUGGAUGUGCCAACAUCAGUUGUGCAGUUCUUGUUACUUAAUGAGCAAGACGGUGAAGAUUUGGAUAUCCAGAAGGCAUGUGUUUGCUGAUUAACCCGAGACUUAUUUUGUUCGGACGAUAAUUUAAUGUUUUUUUUUCUUGUCUUUCAGAUUGACAAGGAGCAGGCUGACCUUGCUCGUGCCAACUUUUUUAUAAUAAAGAAAGAAGCUCAGGGCAUCUUGGAUCUGGUAAUUGUUACUUCUUUAUUGAUAUGAGCCAUAUUCAUUUGCACUGUUUCACAUUGAGAGUACUGAUUCCAGGUAAUCAAGGAUGCAAGUCAAGGCAGUGAGUUUGGGAAAACAAUAUCACUUUAUGUGCUGGAAGCUCUUGUUUGUAUUGAUCACGAGAGAUAUUUUCUUAGUCAGCUCCAGAGCCGAGGUUUCAUACGGUCUUGCCUUGGAAGCAUUAGUAAUAUCUCCUACCAGGUAAUAUCCCUGUGAACUUCUGAGUGUGGUCAUUGCUAUGAAUAUUGUAGAAGUUUUUAGUAGCCCAUUGCUAUGAAAUCUCUUGUUGCAACUUGUUUAACUAGUGGUAAUUAAUUAAUUUGGGUUUGACUGAUAAACUGCAAAAAUAGAUUAAAUUGUAUUUGAGUCAAUAAUACCCUUUCAGUGCGUAGGAGUUCAUACAUGCAAAUUCAAGCUCACAGUUAUUUAUAUAUGCAAGAUCGUCAAAAUAGGAUCGCAAACCUGUUAAAUCUUCUUUAAGAGUGGCAUAAUGUGGCCAGUUAGCUGUUGGUUUGACUUUUUGAUCCACAUUAAAAGACUCGACACCCUAUGUAACUCGUGUGUGUUUUAUGUCCCAUUUACAUAGGAGGUAUCGGCGAUCUUAAUCUUCAUAUGCUGCUAGUUUACAUACUUUGGAGACCUGAUUUAUAUGUGGGUAUUUUUAUUUUCGAGGACUUGUCAUUCAUGCAUGUGCAUUUAUCAUAUUAUUGGGCCCAGGAUGGAACACAUUUGCUGGAGUCACAACAGCGAGCAUGUACCUUAGAAGCAGAAUUUGCAUUGCUACUUAGAAUUAGUCACAAGUACGGAAAGUCUGGAGGCCAGGUUCUGUUCUCCAUGGGUGCGCUGGAACAUAUCGCUUCAUGUAGAGCUAUCAGCUUUAAGGUAAUAUAUUUAUCUGUAGUUAUCAGGUUUUCGAUAUGUGACCUCAAUUUUGCCUCUGCUUUUAAUCCCAAAAGUGCCUUCCAGGGAAAUAUGAGACGGGUGGAUAUGAAACUUCAGAGUGAUGUAGGAUAUAAUGUGCAAAAGCAACGAACAAUAAUCACUGCUGUCCUAAGACUGAUGUUUGCUCUAACCUCAUUGGUUGAGACCUCUGAAUUUUUCGAGGUCAGCCGCGUUUCCCAGAUGACCUUUUCUUUUAUGAUCUUUUGCAUUGCUAAUUCAAUACUCCCUUCCAUAUGUAUUGGCCUGGUUUAGUGAGCAUGAUUUGCCAUUUAAACACUAUUUUCCAGAUCGUUUAGGGCCUUUCUAAGACUGCAAUUUCUAUAUUCUUACUUGUGAUUUAUUUGGGGACUUGUGUGGGAGUAAUACAGACCUUCUAAAAUUGAAUGACAGACACCGAGUUCAGUUUGUUUGAGAUAUGAAAUUAGUAUUGUUUGCAUCUUGUAGAAACUUGAAUGAUGCACUGAUUUUCUAUUGCUAUUGUUUACAUCUUUUAUGCCUCUAACAAGUAGAAGUAGGAAAUAGGUGAGUGUCUUCAAACGUUUCACCUUAUACAAGUACAAUCACUUGAUGACAUUUGCAGUAUAGUUUGCAAGACAUAACAAUCUAAUACUGAGAUGCAGAAAAUUUUAGGACAGUUAGUAUUGUUCUUGUUAGUUUUUUUAGGUAUGAUCUUGAUUUCUUUUUCACCUAUUCUUUUCCUAUUCAACUAAUUAUGCAAGUCAUUGUUGUUGAUUAUUCUGGGUAACUGGUUUUCUUGGUAUGCGAACUAUAAUGAUUUUCUUUCUUCUUUCUCUACCUGGGCGUUUGAUAGGGGAGGAAUAAAAUUGUUCGUGAAGUCAUUGAGUUUAUCAAAGGACAUCAAUUUCUUUUUGACCAACUUCUUCGGGAAGACUUUACUCAAGCAGAUGAUUUAUUGAUGGAGCAAAUUAUUCUUGCAGUGGGAAUAUUGAGCAAGGUAAUUCUUUGGCGAGCUAUAAGUUCUUAAUUUUUUUCUUCUUAAAGGGCAUUUGCUUCUCUUUUUGUGAUUGCAUCUUCAAGAGGGCUCAAAAAAUCCCACAAGCUAGUUAUAGAUGCGUUUUCUAGAAAGUGAGUUUGCUUGUUUUGUAGGUCUGGCCUUUUGAAGAGAACGAUGGAUAUGGAUUUGUUCAAGGGCUUUUUGAUAUGAUGAGCAACCUUUUCAUCGUCUCCCCCAUAAAAUUGAUAUCAUCGCAGGUAGGACAAGUAGUUCAGGUACAUGUUUGAGUAUCAGUAUAUAUUUUUUUGGCACCUUGUCAUCCAAUCCUUGAAUUCUUAUAUUCGAUGGGUUUCUCUUUUUUGUUUGUCAUCUGGUGGACAGAAGGGGUCAGAGCUCAAAUUGUCUCAGUUGCGAUUCAGCUUGACUUCUUACUUAUAUUUUCUGGUGACCAAAAACUCUCUGAGGUUGCAGGUACUUUUGUAGUUAUUUCCCUCGAUUUCUUCUGUCCACGUUUUCAUUAUUCAGUUGUUUGAAUGAACUACAAGUAAAUACUCAUGCCCCUUGUCCCCACACCCACCCCUCCUCCCAGGUUUCCGAUGAUUCUCUUGAUAGUUCCACUAAACUACGCCAACCAACGUUACUGUUGCUUGCAUCUCUUCUUUCGCAUGUGACUGAUUCCCUCGAGAGAGCAGCAGAGAAAAAGUCCUUACUUCUUCAUAAGGUAUAUUAUAUCCUAAUUCCUACUCUUUAUAUGUUUCAAACUCCUUUUAUAUAUAUAUAUAUAUAUAUAUAUAUAUAUAUAUUCGAAGUUGCAUGUAUGAUUGGCAGAUUAGAGACAUAAACGAGCUCUCAAGACAAGAUGUAGAUGCGAUCAUCAAGAUAUGUGAUUGCCAAGAAUAUGUCACACCGUCCGACAACAUACAUAAAAGGUUAGUGAAUUCCUUUCUUCGGCUUGCUCAUGCGUGCAUAUGCUAAAGCAGAAAUGGGUUAUUAACAUAGAAUUUUUCCAGCUUUUUCCUAUCAGUGAUUAGUAAGACGUUUGACAACUGUUUAUAUUUGUUUGUGGCUUGUUACUUACCUCAGGAGAUACAUAGCUAUGGUUGAAAUGUGCCAAAUCGUGGGUAACAGGGACCAGUUAAUCACCUUGUUACUACAACUUGCCGAGCAUGUACUAAAUAUUAUCCUGAUCCAUCUCCAAGAUAGGUAUGCCACUUUAUCUUCAACAAUUAAUAUCUUAAAUGUUGUUAAGUGAAUAUAUUUUGGAAAUCUACGAUGGUCAUACGGUUUGCUCUAGGGUAAUAUGCUAAACACUUGACAUCUGCAGAUCCGUUAGUUCAAAUGAAAGGGGAUCAUAUGGUUCAAAAUCCCAUCUACAACAGGAUGUUACAGAUCUAUGUGGCAAAUUGUCACCUACCAUAGAGAGGCUUGCAUUACUGAAUGAGGUAAAGUCUAAUCGAUUUACGAGAAUUUAAGAUUAUUUAUGUGUUGAAUGGGAACGGUGGUGGUGACCCAACUUGUCUAUCGCAGGGAAAAGUAGGACAUAACCUGAAGGUGUUCCAGAGACUGGCAACGACUGUAAAAGAAAUGGCCAUCCAAAAGUGUUUAUGAUAAUAAGCUUCUCAAGAAAUGUAUUUUUUGUGGUUGAACAAUUUUUGUGUGUGAAAUGUCCAAAUCUGAAAUUGUAGUGCGGGUCUGUAUAACUGAGGUACUUCAAUCACAAAAUAGUAAGGUGUUAUCCAAUAUCCAUAUGAAUUCAGAUAAUACUUUCUCUGAGGUGAUUGGGAAAAACUUUAAAAGCUCCAACUUUAUUUUAAAGUCUUGAAAGCCAAAAACUUUUACCAUUCAGAGUUUUUUUUCUUGUUUUUUUUCACCACAUUCUAACUGCCCACGUCUUCUCUUUUUACUCUUUGUACGUCUAUUCUUUUAAAAGUCAUGUAAGUGUUACUUGAUAUGUUUUAAUCUCAUUAUAAACAAAUCGUCUUUGCUCAAAUUAAAUGAAUUAUACAGCAUUCAAACAUAAAGUCUAAGGGUAUAAAGCAGAAGAAUGAAUGAAUAAAAGCAAAGCAUUUUUUACAACUAGCUAAUCUAAUAAGAUUUGAACAAUUAGCAAGUUCUAUUUGUUAUCAUCUUCUUGGUGUUUUGCCUGUAGAUGAUAUUAAAGUUUCUGAUGUCACCUAAUGUUGGAAUUUUCCCAAUUUGCUCCUUACGUAACCACGAGUUGUGAGUGUCCAAGAGAUGGAUAAGGAGAUAACGGAGGCACAGAAAAUAUUCUCAUCUCUUUACUGUCUUGUCCGUCCCAAAACCCCAUCCAACUUGACGGUGUUAACGGGCAAACCUCAGCCUGAGCCUGAAUUUCUGCCUCUUCCCUCUUCACAGCUUUAUGGCUACACAGGUUACUUCCAUGAAUUUCAUCCUCCGUUACUUGUCUCUUCCUCUUUGCUUUUAAAGACACAGUAGUCUUGUUGUUAUUGUUGUCGUCUCCUAAGUCCUCGUGCUUUCCUGCUUCGAGUGGAAAGUUAAGAAUGGCUUUGCUUCCUCGUAGUUUAAAAGCAGCCUUGUCGUAACCUCUUGCAGCUUCCAUGGCUGUGUCAAAAGUGCCUAGCCAGACACGAACACCUUUCUUGUUUGGGUCUCUGAUCUCAGCCGCAUACUUACCCCACGGUCUUCUCCUGACGCCUCUGUAGUGCCUUUGAUCAUCAACCUCUUGAACCACUGGUGCAGUUGUAGGAACUGCUAUAGUGGCAAGAGGUGGCUUGCGUUGGCUUAGAGUUGAGGUGGUGCAGUGGUGGAUGGUGGAGACAAAGGUGUCUAAGGAAGGGAAAUCGGUAAGAAGGUGUUGGGUUAUGAGAUCUAAAGCUGAUUGGUCUUGUUCUUGUUGUUGUUGAUCUGAAGAAGCCAUAGAUGAAAGGUAUUGGAGUCUUUUUUAGUAUUU
Molecule: long non-coding RNA, 22403 nt
Filed under: Arabidopsis lyrata
Lineage: Eukaryota; Viridiplantae; Streptophyta; Magnoliopsida; Brassicales; Brassicaceae
Description: long non-coding RNA (ALYR_LNC000604)
Source: RNAcentral